GCACGGCUGCAAGGGUCUGUUAGGACGGUUUUGUGAGGACCAAAAUCCGAUUUCGAGUUUGAUCGGCCGAAGGGUAGACAAAGAGGAGCUAAGGUGAGACGUCCAUGGCAUGACAGCGAGUUUCCGGCAUGCACUCCGGGAAAAAGAUCCUCCACUUCUGGCUCUCGGGCGGGCUUAUCCUGCACCAUCUGCUUCGACGCUCUCUGGUUUUUCUAUUGAAAUUCUGGUAACCCGUUUGUAAACCAAGCCUCACAUCUGGUCUUUUCGCACAGCAGAAGCAGCUUCAUCCCAUUGGAAAGAAUUGUUUGGCACUAUAAAUGACCAUUGAAUCAAUAGUUUCCUGUUUCCUUGGAUAUACAGAUGAUGGUGUAUUAUAGAGAAAGAAACCCAGUUACCCAGGUUAACCCAGUUUUCAUAUUCAACUAACCAGAGUUGUCUCAGAUUUUAGGUUGUGGUAAAGGCUAGCAAAUCACUGCAUGGAGAUGGGGAUGGAAGUGAUCCAAAAAGGGUCUUGGUUCUGUAUCCAUCACUUUAAUUAUCACUUUGCAGCUUUAUUACUUGUUCCUUUAUUUAUUUA
Long non-coding RNA from Nelumbo nucifera (sacred lotus), 577 nucleotides. RefSeq lists it as uncharacterized. NCBI's taxonomy places the organism in Eukaryota, Viridiplantae, Streptophyta, Magnoliopsida, Proteales, Nelumbonaceae. The record is from RefSeq and is a predicted model, not a curated record.